UUGUGUGUAUACGCAUAUAAUAGUAUAAUCUAUAUAAGUAGAUUAAUGCAAAUGUAUGUUGCAUAGAAAAAGAUUACAUCUUUCAAUAUUUUUAGAAUGUAAAAAGAAAAACCAUUGUGUUUUUUUGACAAAUCGGAUGAAAGUUGCAAUAAUAUAUCUGCCUCAUUGAUUAGGUGUAGCAAUUUUAAGGAAUUGUGUGUGUGUGGGGGGGGGGUUACUUUAUAAUGCAUGCAUGAGCUCUUGAUGUGUCCUGGUUCUCAAGGCUGAUAUUUAGUACUUAAGUAAAGAAAAAGAAAUACUAGCGUUUGUCAUUCGUAUAAGUCAUUAUAUUCUUUAAUUAUUAUUACUUGAAGUGCAGCUUGAGUGUUUCUAAAGAGGAGGGGGGUGGACACUGAGACUAGGUUUCAGGUCACUGCACAGCACACCAGUGGAGACUUGGGGUUUGAUACAGCAAAGUUGCCUCAAAAUAGGUCUCCUGGAACCAGGUUUCAAGCCACUGUUCCUGAAAAAGGGGCUUUGUCUUCUCUCAGCUUAACAUGCAGCUAAAGACACACAUGUGAGCCAUAUUUUCAGGCGCCUCGUGGCGUGCGGAGCUCAGACUAGAAUACACACCUCUAGUUCAGGUAUUAGACUCUCUAGAUUCCAUCAAGUGACAAUGUCAUGAUGCUGAAUGUAAUGUUUGUUGUUUGAAUUAUUUAGUGCAGUAGAGCUGCAGAACCGAAGUGGCACAGGACUUUAUAAAAACCUUACUGCGUUGGGGGAAAAAACAAAUAAUGGUCUUGGAAAAGAAUACAAAAAACUGUUAUUGGAGUAGAUAUUUACUUUUCUGUAAUUUUAUUACGAAGUGGACUCUGUGUAUGCUGACUUUAUUUAAUGGAAAAAAAAAAAAUAUAUAUAUAUUUUUAGACUUGUACUGAAUGCAGAUGAGACCCAUUCUGACAGCCUGAACGUGCAAGCCUAAGAGGGUUUGUGGCCCAAAAGUGACCUAUUAUGCAUCAGGGUGUCAUUUUGGGUUACUGUUGGAUUUUUAUUUUAAGACUCUUUGUUUUUAAAGUGUCUUCGUUUCUUUCUCAUAUGCUUUUCCAUUUGAUAAAAGCCUAUGUGUAAAUAGUGGAUCCCAAGUUACUGUAUAGUUACUGGUAGGAACGCGGUGUGUAUAUGACGUGUGUGCAUUUUCUUCAGCCUGUUUUUUAGAAUACAUAUUGCCUGAUUUUAAUCAACAGACGAUGAUUUAAGAUGACGUUUUCUAUUUGUACAUUGGAUUGGUUUUGUUUUUUUGGAUUUUUUUACAUUAAACAUGUACCCCUUCAUACAAAACAUUCAGCUUCGCGUGGCUUUCAAAAAAUGUCAAACAAACACACCAAAAAAAACACCAAUACAAAAUAAUUCUGGCAGGGGGACAUAACUCAGACUUGUAGAUUUAUUUAUGAUUUAAAUAACGAUUUAGUUUUAUGUUCUUGUUAGAAACCUAAAUCCUUUGUAAAUGAUCAUGUCAAUUUUAACCUUUAACAUUGUAUUAUGUACACUUAAGAUCUGCUGCGAGUUAUCAGUUAACAAGUAGACUGCUGUCUUCUUCUCAGAUGCAGUUGCUCGGAUGGAUAAGGAUGCCUGUGGUUGUGUCGCUCAUCUCUUAAUCAAUAGCGGCUAAGCACUGGGGAGGCUGCUACUCCUGUCCCAGCAGCUACUUCUUUAAAAUCAGAAUGCUUUUGGAUCAGGAUUCAGUAUUAAAUAAGCAUUGCUUUACAAUUAGGGUAUUUUAUAAUUUGAAUUAGAAGCAUAAGAGUAGCAGAUAACAUGCAGUUUUUUUUAAAAAUUCAAAAUCUUACUGCAGAUUGUUAACCAUGUAAAGAGAUUCCUGUGUGUGUGUGUGUGUGUGUGUGUGUGUGUGUCCUGCCCGUUCCUGUGGGGGUGGGGGCUGGAACACGCGUCCUCCGAAACGUGCGCCUGCCAGUCCGUCAUUUCUCACUCGGGAGCCUCCUACUGCACUCUGUUCUAUUGAUCUUGACUGUAACUAAAUGCUUGGCUUCAAGCUUGUAUAUCUCCAUUAGUGAGCACAUUUGGAGAGGAGGGAUGUUGCAUUUGUUUGCUGUGCCUUGCAAUGUGCUUUGCAUUCAAGAUUAAACCUGGCCUCACAACCCCAACAUGCCAGUGAUCUGCUCUUAUUAGGAGGACAAGCAUAGCAAGGUGCUGACACUAUACCACAGGGGUGUCCACAGUUCAGAGCAGAGCUGCAGAGCAAGGUGCUGACACUAUAACACAGGGGUGUCCACAGCUCAGAGCAGAGAGCUACAGAGCAAGGUGCUGACACUAUAACACAGGGGUGUCCACAGGGGUGUCCACAGCUCAGAGCAGAGAGCUGCAGAGCAAGGUGCUGACACUAUAACACAGGGGUGCCCACAGGGGUGUCCACAGCUCAGAGCAGAGAGCUGCAGAGCAAGGUGCUGACACUAUAACACAGGGGUGUCCACAGGGGUGUCCACAGCUCAGAGCAGAGAGCUGCAGAGCAAGGUGCUGACACUAUAACACAGGGGUGCCCACAGCUCAGAGCAGAGAGCUGCAGAGCAAGGCUACUGUGGGACCGUGGGACCCAAUGUGACCAAAUUGCAUGGAUUGCAAAUUUUAAAUUACAAGCUUAAUAUUUAAACAAUUUCUUAGUAUUUACUCCCUCUGUCAAUGACUUGUAAAAACAUAAACCCACGACAUUAGCAUGUAUUCCUGUUGCCAGUGACAAUACCACUCAAUUCAAUACAUUAACUGUAUCAAACUAUUUACUAUAUUACUAUUGUUCAUAAAAGUCCAUUUAAAACAUGUAAAUAAUAAUAAUAAUAAUUCUUGGCAUUUAUUGGUAAUGCCAGUGACAGUAACAGUAAAUUCAAUACAUUGUAAAAUUAAGUCAUUAGCAUUUAUUCAUGUUGUUAGUGGCUAGAACAAGCUAUUCAAUAAAUGUCAUCCUUACCUGUACUUUCA
This is a long non-coding RNA of Polyodon spathula (Mississippi paddlefish), 2967 nucleotides long. RefSeq lists it as uncharacterized. The transcript is spliced from 2 exons. The record is from RefSeq and is a predicted model, not a curated record. Lineage: Eukaryota; Metazoa; Chordata; Actinopteri; Acipenseriformes; Polyodontidae.